UGGCGGCGUGCUUAACACAUGCAAGUCGAACGAUGAAGCCUAGCUUGCUGGGUGGAUUAGUGGCGAACGGGUGAGUAACACGUGAGCAACCUGCCCCGGACUCUGGGAUAAGCGCUGGAAACGGCGUCUAAUACCGGAUAUGAGCUCCCACCGCAUGGUGAGGGGUUGGAAAGAUUUUUUGGUCUGGGAUGGGCUCGCGGCCUAUCAGCUUGUUGGUGAGGUAAUGGCUCACCAAGGCGUCGACGGGUAGCCGGCCUGAGAGGGUGACCGGCCACACUGGGACUGAGACACGGCCCAGACUCCUACGGGAGGCAGCAGUGGGGAAUAUUGCACAAUGGGCGGAAGCCUGAUGCAGCAACGCCGCGUGAGGGAUGACGGCCUUCGGGUUGUAAACCUCUUUUAGCAAGGAAGAAGCGAAAGUGACGGUACUUGCAGAAAAAGCGCCGGCUAACUACGUGCCAGCAGCCGCGGUAAUACGUAGGGCGCAAGCGUUAUCCGGAAUUAUUGGGCGUAAAGAGCUCGUAGGCGGUUUGUCGCGUCUGCUGUGAAAUCCGGAGGCUCAACCUCCGGCCUGCAGUGGGUACGGGCAGACUAGAGUGCGGUAGGGGAGAUUGGAAUUCCUGGUGUAGCGGUGGAAUGCGCAGAUAUCAGGAGGAACACCGAUGGCGAAGGCAGAUCUCUGGGCCGUAACUGACGCUGAGGAGCGAAAGGGUGGGGAGCAAACAGGCUUAGAUACCCUGGUAGUCCACCCCGUAAACGUUGGGAACUAGUUGUGGGGGCCAUUCCACGGUCUCCGUGACGCAGCUAACGCA
Molecule: ribosomal RNA, 812 nt
Filed under: Microbacterium sp.
Lineage: Bacteria; Bacillati; Actinomycetota; Actinomycetes; Micrococcales; Microbacteriaceae
Description: bacterial SSU rRNA
Rfam family: Bacterial small subunit ribosomal RNA
Source: RNAcentral